Molecule: ribosomal RNA, 253 nt
Filed under: uncultured bacterium
Lineage: Bacteria
Description: partial 16S ribosomal RNA
Rfam family: Bacterial small subunit ribosomal RNA
Source: RNAcentral
UACAGAGGUCUCAAGCGUUGUUCGGAUUCAUUGGGCGUAAAGGGUGUGUAGGUGGCGCCGUAAGUCGGGUGUGAAAUUUCGGAGCUUAACUCCGAAACUGCAUUCGAUACUGCGGUGCUUGAGGACUGGAGAGGAGACUGGAAUUCAUGGUGUAGCAGUGAAAUGCGUAGAUAUCGUAAGGAAGACCAGUGGCGAAGGCGAAUCUCUGGACAGUUACUGACACUGAGGCACGAAGGCCAGGGGAGCAAACGGG